This 482-nucleotide ribosomal RNA is filed under the name uncultured bacterium. RNAcentral's name for it is "partial 16S ribosomal RNA". It matches the Rfam family "Bacterial small subunit ribosomal RNA", at positions 30 to 507 of the family's 1533-position model. The record is from RNAcentral.
AUUGAACGCUGGCGGCAUGCCUUACACAUGCAAGUCGAACGGUAACAGGUCUUCGGAUGCUGACGAGUGGCGAACGGGUGAGUAAUACAUCGGAACGUGCCCGAUCGUGGGGGAUAACGAAGCGAAAGCUUUGCUAAUACCGCAUAAGAUCUACGGAUGAAAGCAGGGGACCGCAAGGCCUUGCGCGAACGGAGCGGCCGAUGGCAGAUUAGGUAGUUGGUGGGAUAAAAGCUUACCAAGCCGACGAUCUGUAGCUGGUCUGAGAGGACGACCAGCCACACUGGGACUGAGACACGGCCCAGACUCCUACGGGAGGCAGCAGUGGGGAAUUUUGGACAAUGGGCGAAAGCCUGAUCCAGCCAUGCCGCGUGCAGGAUGAAGGCCUUCGGGUUGUAAACUGCUUUUGUACGGAACGAAAAGACUCUGGUUAAUACCUGGGGUCCAUGACGGUACCGUAAGAAUAAGCAUCGGCUAACUACGUG